RNAcentral lists this ribosomal RNA (254 nucleotides) under uncultured bacterium. RNAcentral describes it as "partial 16S ribosomal RNA". It matches the Rfam family "Bacterial small subunit ribosomal RNA", at positions 524 to 776 of the family's 1533-position model. The record is from RNAcentral.
CACGUAGGGUGCGAGCGUUGUCCGGAAUUAUUGGGCGUAAAGAGCUCGUAGGCGGUGUGUCGCGUCGGCCGUGAAAACCUGCAGCUUAACUGUGGGCUUGCGGUCGAUACGGGCAUCACUGGAGUUCGGCAGGGGAGACUGGAAUUCCUGGUGUAGCGGUGAAAUGCGCAGAUAUCAGGAGGAACACCGGUGGCGAAGGCGACUUUCUGGCCUGUUCUUGACGCUGAGGCGCGAAAGCUAGGGGAGCAAACGGG